ACGUGCCGUAUUGCUAGGUAGCCAGAUGUUGCAAACUGAUGAACUGCCAUGCGCAGAACAAUGGCAUGCACAAGCUAGACCGGUGAAAUACUCUGGUUACUGCAGUAGUUGCGUGUGAAGAAGUAAAAGAACUGCAGGUACUGAAUUUAGAAGUCACGCUUCUCUGUGUACUGAUACCCUGCUCUUUCUACUAGUACAUACACUUCUUUUGUAAUUUGUCUGAAGCAUGCAUUCCUGUCCAGAACCCAAAUGCCAGCUUUGCCUUGUGCAUGCAUUCAACGACACCUGACCUAACUACACUCUACAUCCUUAGCUUUCAUUUGUCUGACCACUAUCUUGACAUCAGAAACAAACCAAGCUUACAUUUUUCAGAGUGUCUUUGUUAUUUUACAGAGUGGCUUCUGCAAAUGCCAUAAGAAGCAUCUAUCUGCAGAACAAGUGGAACCACAAUCCUGCAGCAGAAGCAGAUUACUCACAAUAUACAGUUCUUCUUCCCAGCAUAUACAGGUCGCAAACAGUAAUGGCUCAUUGAUGUACAGAGAGUUUUUUUUCAAAAAGGGGAAUGACCCCGGCCUCUGCAUCAUCAUGACGCGCACAACCAUUGAUGUACAGAUAGUAUAACUAGCUUCUUCUUUUUUUCUGCGAGGUGUCUAACUAGCUUCUGAUCAGCUCAAAACAGGCUUGUCUUGCCUCCUCAUCGAUUUCUGAGCAUUUUCGCCUGGUUAGCCAUUGUGGUGCAUGCUUGUACUUAAUUUACAUUGUCGGUCCUUGUGAAUUGUACAGCUCUAGCUGGCCACAAGUAUUUAUCCAUAUAUGGAUGUUUUGUUUGCUAAAAGAGACUUCUGAUCUGUUGAUUUCUGCAGGCGGCGGUGAUGAGACUAUUUGCAGCAGGUAGCAAUGGAAAUAAUAGAAGUCCAUCUUGCUGGGCAUUUCCGUGUGCAGUAAACGACAGCGCCCGGGAGUCUGAACCCCUCGUUUUCAUUCAGCCUCAGCACCAACACCUACAGGCAGGCUGGUGCCUGCGCAGAAUAGGCAGCACGACGAAGGUACUUGUUCGCACAAGCCUUGAGAUGACAAUGAGCAAAACAAAGUCUGGGCUGUAGCAUACUCUGUUUUGUGCUUGUUAUCGUAAAUCUACAAGCGUGUCCGUAUGAUUUGAGUGUGCAUGAGUAUCAAAUGGACAAACAAGGCAAGUACCUGGUGCAAAAAUGCUGAAUUUGGUCAGGCAAAAUGUUUUCUUUUUGUCCAAAUAGCUAGAACUUGACGGGAAAUUAAGCUACAGCACUACAUGUUGGAAAAUGUGUUGAUAUUCAUAUUCUAUACAUCCAUUAUUGUUGAAAUCGCCCAAGGAAUGAAUCCACAGCUUUACCAAACCAGGCAACUGACAGAGGGUUCAGAACAUCAGUAGUUGAGUACAUCGCAUUGCCCUGUAGCUGCAGCAGGACGAGAUGGAACGGGAUGGUGGGAAAUGGAAAGGGAUGGUCUUACCCGGUGGGGGAUCUCCUCGGCUGUCUAUCGGAGUCCACUCAUCUGAGCUCCUGCUGCCGCCAUAGGUGAAGGUUAGGUAGAGCUGAGUGAGAGGAAACAAAUCAAUCAUUCCAGCUAGUCAGGGGUUUGUCGCGAGAGAAGAGAAGAAAUAGGGGAAGGAGAAAGGCUGAACUUGGGACAGUUCCAGGAGUCUACGACCACUGCGAGACGCUCAGGCCCAGGUGGACAAGUACCCGGGUGCUAGCCACAGAGGGUUCGACAGCAGAGCCGAAGCAGACAGUAGUUACUUGAGGUGAACGCUCCGGCAAGAGCGGGGGCGGGACCGCCGGUGCCAAAAGUACUACAUAGUCGCGCUCUUGCUCAUGUUGAUCGCUAUUCUCUUCUACAUCAUGGUUUAGAUAGAGAUGAUGAAACUUGUGUGUGUGCCAUGACCAUGCAGUUGCACUUAUUCGAGACAUGGCAUGACUUGUGUAUCGCUGUUUUAGAGAUGUGAUGAUAUUUGUGUUGAAUGAUGAUGAUGAUGAUGGUAUGA
Long non-coding RNA from Triticum aestivum (bread wheat), 2020 nucleotides. RefSeq lists it as uncharacterized. The record is from RefSeq and is a predicted model, not a curated record. NCBI's taxonomy places the organism in Eukaryota, Viridiplantae, Streptophyta, Magnoliopsida, Poales, Poaceae. The transcript is spliced from 2 exons.